RNAcentral lists this ribosomal RNA (427 nucleotides) under Vibrio cholerae. Its description in RNAcentral is "bacterial SSU rRNA". It matches the Rfam family "Bacterial small subunit ribosomal RNA", at positions 599 to 1025 of the family's 1533-position model. The record is from RNAcentral. Lineage: Bacteria; Pseudomonadati; Pseudomonadota; Gammaproteobacteria; Vibrionales; Vibrionaceae.
AGCCCUGGGCUCAACCUAGGAAUCGCAUUUGAAACUGACAAGCUAGAGUACUGUAGAGGGGGGUAGAAUUUCAGGUGUAGCGGUGAAAUGCGUAGAGAUCUGAAGGAAUACCGGUGGCGAAGGCGGCCCCCUGGACAGAUACUGACACUCAGAUGCGAAAGCGUGGGGAGCAAACAGGAUUAGAUACCCUGGUAGUCCACGCCGUAAACGAUGUCUACUUGGAGGUUGUGCCCUAGAGGCGUGGCUUUCGGAGCUAACGCGUUAAGUAGACCGCCUGGGGAGUACGGUCGCAAGAUUAAAACUCAAAUGAAUUGACGGGGGCCCGCACAAGCGGUGGAGCAUGUGGUUUAAUUCGAUGCAACGCGAAGAACCUUACCUACUCUUGACAUCCAGAGAAUCUAGCGGAGACGCUGGAGUGCCUUCGGGA